RNAcentral lists this ribosomal RNA (522 nucleotides) under uncultured bacterium. RNAcentral's name for it is "bacterial SSU rRNA". It matches the Rfam family "Bacterial small subunit ribosomal RNA", at positions 501 to 1023 of the family's 1533-position model. The record is from RNAcentral.
CUACGUGCCAGCAGCCGCGGUAAUACGGGGGGUGCGAGCGUUAAUCGGAAUAACUGGGCGUAAAGGGCACGCAGGCGGUGACUUAAGUGAGAUGUGAAAGCCCCGAGCUUAACUUGGGAAUUGCAUUUCAUACUGGGUCGCUAGAGUACUUUAGGGAGGGGUAGAAUUCCACGUGUAGCGGUGAAAUGCGUAGAGAUGUGGAGGAAUACCGAAGGCGAAGGCAGCCCCUUGGGAAUGUACUGACGCUCAUGUGCGAAAGCGUGGGGAGCAAACAGGAUUAGAUACCCUGGUAGUCCACGCUGUAAACGAUGUCGAUUUGGGGAUUGGGCUUUGAGCUUGGUGCCCGUAGCUAACGUGAUAAAUCGACCGCCUGGGGAGUACGGCCGCAAGGUUAAAACUCAAAUGAAUUGACGGGGGCCCGCACAAGCGGUGGAGCAUGUGGUUUAAUUCGAUGCAACGCGAAGAACCUUACCUACUCUUGACAUCCAUGGAAUCUUGUAGAGAUACGAGGGUGCUUCGGGA